GACGAACGCUGGCGGCAUGCCUAAUACAUGCAAGUCGAGCGAACAGAUGAAGUGCUUGCACUUCUGACGUUAGCGGCGAACGGGUGAGUAACACGUAAGGAAUCUACCUAUAAGCGGAGGAUAACAUUCGGAAACGGGUGCUAAUACCGCAUAAUAUCUUCUUCCGCAGGGAAGACGAUUGAAAGACGGCUCUGCUGUCACUUAUAGAUGACCUUGCGGUGCAUUAGUUUGUGGGUGGGGUAACGGCCUACCAAGACGAUGAUGCAUAGCCGACCGGGGAGGGUGAUCGGCCACAUUGGGACUGAGACACGGCCCAAACUCCUACGGGAGGCAGCAGUAGGGAAUCUUCCGCAAUGGGCGAAAGCCUGACGGAGAAUGCCGCGUGAGUGAAGAAGGCCUUCGGGUCGUAAAACUCUGUUAUAAGAGAAGAACAAAUUGUAGAGUAACUGCUACAGUCUUGACGGUAUCUUAUCAGAAAGCCACGGCUAACUACGUGCCAGCCGCCGCCGUAA
Molecule: ribosomal RNA, 512 nt
Filed under: uncultured bacterium
Lineage: Bacteria
Description: partial 16S ribosomal RNA
Rfam family: Bacterial small subunit ribosomal RNA
Source: RNAcentral